UCUACCGUAGUAGACUGACCGACAAAAUUCCGAACUGUGUUUGGAACUGAGCCCUAGUAGCCCCGCGGAUUCAGAAAUUAAGUUCCUCCACGCAAGGGGGCGCUCCAGGCUCUCCGCUCCACGUUGCGCUCCGCUGAGGCGCCGCUCUAGGCCUCAGCCCGCGCUCUCAGCUGUACUUCCGCCCGCGCUGAGCAAGUGGAGCGCUUCCUGGGCGCGUGGCUUUGUUCCCUUGCAGUGCCUCGCCAUCUCCCGGAAUCCGCAGACAUCUGGCACACUCCUGCGCUGUGCUCCCGGUCUCCGCCGUGCCUGGGGUCAGGCCGCUGAGGUGCUACAGCCCUCCUGGGCGCAGAUGCAGAUUCUCUCUCGGAUGGCUUUGCUGGUUCUGCACCAGGCAGGGCCCCCUUCGCCCCUGCAGAGUCCCCAUGCGCACUCCCUGAUGGGCUCUGGCCGUCCAGGGCUGAGGAUGACCCAGAGACAGGUGGACAGAGGUCUAUCUGCCAGUUCACUCCCCAUAUUCCUGCAAUGGCCAGGACUGGACCAAGCUGAAGCCAGGAGCUGGGCACCCAAUCCAGUUCUCCCACGUGGGUGGCAGGACCCCAACUACUAGAGCCGUCACCUGCUGCCUGCCAGGAUGCACCUUCAGGGGAAGCUGGACCAGAACCGGGCACUCUGAUGUGUGAUCGUGGGCUGCCCGUGCCCUGGUCAUUGAUAGUGCAGGGAGAGCAGCUGCUGAAAGCACUUCCCCGUGUUUGGAGGGUCCGCGCCGUCCCUGCCGAACCCUGGAGCGUUCGCACACCUCUGCCCUCUCGGCACCUUCUGGAUACCUCCUGGCAGCUGGCGGCUGGCCUCACCUUGAAGGUGGUGUCUAGCUUACUUCUGGCAGACGGCAGUGUGCAGCACUUAAAGCAGGAGUGAAAGCAGAAGCUAGAAAGAACAGAGGCGCAGCUGUAAGGUGGUCUGUUGUGCGGAGGCCUCGGGGCACGCGUCUGCCUCACUGCAGCAGGAGCUGGACCAGAGCCCCUGAGGUCUCAGCCUUCGAGCCGGAUGGCCGAGGAGUCGGUGACUCCCCGGGUACCCCGUGGUCACUCGGUGGUGUUUAUGGACAGCAGAGGGACAGAAUGGAUUCGAGGUCACCACGUGAAGUAUCACCGGCAUUGCUUCCUGGGCUGGCUCAGAGCACCUGGAACAGCUCUGCACAAGAAUCCCGUGCAGACGUGGGAGACUUGGCUGGCUCUGGCUUUGACCUUAAUAGCCAAGUUUCUCUCUUGGAAUCCCAUCAAUAAACCUUAUGGACUAAC
Molecule: long non-coding RNA, 1298 nt
Organism: Oryctolagus cuniculus (rabbit)
Lineage: Eukaryota; Metazoa; Chordata; Mammalia; Lagomorpha; Leporidae
Source: RefSeq, a predicted model, not a curated record